CUUCCUCACAACCAAAAGAAGAUAUGUUGAGAUUAUUAUCUCCUUAUUGAUAUUAGGGUUAAACUACUUUUGAACACGAGUCAAUCAUCUUCAUUUGCAUCGAAUCUCGAACUCUUAAUUCAGAUAAAUUUAGUAUUUUAAUUUUUUUCCUUCAACUAAAACCUUAGCUCCAAGAUAAACUCUAAUAAUAUGAGAAUAAAAUGAAAAAUCCCAAAUCUCAAAUUAAUCUGCAUAUGAGAUAUUACUAAGAAAGGAGAGUUGAAAUUUUACCUUAGCAGCCAAAUAUUCAAAACGAAACGAUCAAAUAAAUCUGAGCACCUAAUCCAACAUGUCCAUACUAACGGUAUUUUUUUAAUACCGAAAAUUCUAUCUACCAACAAUUAGAGACCGACAUUAACAAAUAAUUAAAAAAAAAGAUUCAAAACAAUUAACCGAAAUUCACUUUUUACAAAUUAAGCAUUCAUCUAAAACAAAGGAGAUAAUAUAUGAAAGAAAGAAAGAAACUAAAAUACCCAAAAAGGAAAAGAAUUACCUCUAGGAUGUAGAAGAAAAAUAAUUCAAUCGUCCAGCAUUGUUAUUGUGCACAAGUUGCAUUUUUCAUGUCAGUCUCACAAAAUUAAGCCUUAGCGGUUAGUUAUUCGUCUAUAUCUUAAUUAAUUAGUCCACUUUGCCUACAAUAUUCACUUGUCUUUCAAUAGAUUUACAAAUGAUAAUGCAGAGUGUUGUUACUCAAGUACACCAUUACUUUUCUAAAGCAAGUUUGUUUUCUUCAAACUUUAUAUACUUUAAAAAGAGAGAAAACUAAUAAUUCUACUUUAUUCUCACGACCAAAAAAAAGAUAUUUUUUUGUGUAUAUGUCAUAGCUUGGGUAGAAACCCACCUAAAAAGUCAUUAACAUUAUUUAUCACUUUACAAACUAGGAGACUCCAAAAACAUAAUAUAGAAUGAGGCAUACCUUUAUCAGAUUUCGAAACUAUGGAUGCCGCUAGAACAACCUGCAGAACAUAUACAAACUUUUUGUAGCUAUCAUCACAAUGCUUUCAGAAUCAAUUAAUAUUCUCUAACUUUUGGCAAAACAAUAACAAAUUUAAAUCUGAAAUAUGAAGUUAUAAAUUUAUCGAGCACCAUAAGGCACUAACAUAUAUAUUACCACCUUCGCUGCUUAGUAAAUUUAUUCGGAGCAGAUACAAACAAUAGGUGAUAUAUCACCUUGCUUCGAGCGCAAAUUUGACGCCUUUAGAAAUAACAUAAAACUUCUCAAACAAUUACUUAUGAGUAUGAGAUUGAAAGUUGUUACCAAUGCGAUAAAUGCAACAAAGAAUCAAAUUAAAUGACAGUUGCUUGCCAUGAGAUAUUUGUUUUGCGAUUGGAUCUAGCUAUCAUCUUCUUCCAUCUUCCCCUCGCAUUCUACUACGCAAGAGCAAAAUGAAUUGUCUGUAUUUUAGAACAUGCAAAAGAAGUGAAAAUAUAGAAAGAAUAGAACAUGAACGGUUUCUGCAAAAAAUGAAGGUUCGUGUGUUUUCA
RNAcentral lists this long non-coding RNA (1524 nucleotides) under Nicotiana tabacum (common tobacco). Its description in RNAcentral is "long non-coding RNA (NTAB_LNC000271)". Lineage: Eukaryota; Viridiplantae; Streptophyta; Magnoliopsida; Solanales; Solanaceae. The record is from RNAcentral.